This 869-nucleotide ribosomal RNA is filed under the name uncultured bacterium. Its description in RNAcentral is "bacterial SSU rRNA". It matches the Rfam family "Bacterial small subunit ribosomal RNA", at positions 9 to 873 of the family's 1533-position model. The record is from RNAcentral.
GAGUUUGAUCCUGGCUCAGAUUGAACGCUGGCGGCAUGCCUUACACAUGCAAGUCGAACGGCAGCACGGAGCUUGCUCUGGUGGCGAGUGGCGAACGGGUGAGUAAUAUAUCGGAACGUACCCUAGAGUGGGGGAUAACGUAGCGAAAGUUACGCUAAUACCGCAUACGAUCUAAGGAUGAAAGUGGGGGAUCGCAAGGCCUCAUGCUCGUGGAGCGGCCGAUAUCUGAUAGCUAGUUGGUAGGGUAAAAGCCUACCAAGGCAUCGAUCAGUAGCUGGUCUGAGAGGACGACCAGCCACACUGGAACUGAGACACGGUCCAGACUCCUACGGGAGGCAGCAGUGGGGAAUUUUGGACAAUGGGCGCAAGCCUGAUCCAGCAAUGCCGCGUGAGUGAAGAAGGCCUUCGGGUUGUAAAGCUCUUUUGUCAGGGAAGAAACGGUGGGAGCUAAUAUCUCCUGCUAAUGACGGUACCUGAAGAAUAAGCACCGGCUAACUACGUGCCAGCAGCCGCGGUAAUACGUAGGGUGCAAGCGUUAAUCGGAAUUACUGGGCGUAAAGCGUGCGCAGGCGGUUUUGUAAGUCUGAUGUGAAAUCCCCGGGCUCAACCUGGGAAUUGCAUUGGAGACUGCAAGGCUAGAAUCUGGCAGAGGGGGGUAGAAUUCCACGUGUAGCAGUGAAAUGCGUAGAUAUGUGGAGGAACACCGAUGGCGAAGGCAGCCCUCUGGGUCAAGAUUGACGCUCAUGCACGAAAGCGUGGGGAGCAAACAGGAUUAGAUACCCUGGUAGUCCACGCCCUAAACGAUGUCUACUAGUUGUCGGGUCUUAAUUGACUUGGUAACGCAGCUAACGCGUGAAGUAGACCGCCUG